RNAcentral lists this ribosomal RNA (865 nucleotides) under Vibrio sp. 8123M. Its description in RNAcentral is "bacterial SSU rRNA". It matches the Rfam family "Bacterial small subunit ribosomal RNA", at positions 386 to 1243 of the family's 1533-position model. Lineage: Bacteria; Pseudomonadati; Pseudomonadota; Gammaproteobacteria; Vibrionales; Vibrionaceae. The record is from RNAcentral.
AUGCGCCAUGCCGCGUGUAUGAAGAAGGCCUUCGGGUUGUAAAGUACUUUCAGUUGUGAGGAAGGGGGUAGCGUUAAUAGCGCUAUCUCUUGACGUUAGCAACAGAAGAAGCACCGGCUAACUCCGUGCCAGCAGCCGCGGUAAUACGGAGGGUGCGAGCGUUAAUCGGAAUUACUGGGCGUAAAGCGCAUGCAGGUGGUUCAUUAAGUCAGAUGUGAAAGCCCGGGGCUCAACCUCGGAACUGCAUUUGAAACUGGUGAACUAGAGUACUGUAGAGGGGGGUAGAAUUUCAGGUGUAGCGGUGAAAUGCGUAGAGAUCUGAAGGAAUACCAGUGGCGAAGGCGGCCCCCUGGACAGAUACUGACACUCAGAUGCGAAAGCGUGGGGAGCAAACAGGAUUAGAUACCCUGGUAGUCCACGCCGUAAACGAUGUCUACUUGGAGGUUGUGGCCUUGAGCCGUGGCUUUCGGAGCUAACGCGUUAAGUAGACCGCCUGGGGAGUACGGUCGCAAGAUUAAAACUCAAAUGAAUUGACGGGGGCCCGCACAAGCGGUGGAGCAUGUGGUUUAAUUCGAUGCAACGCGAAGAACCUUACCUACUCUUGACAUCCAGAGAAUCCAGCGGAGACGCAGGAGUGCCUUCGGGAGCUCUGAGACAGGUGCUGCAUGGCUGUCGUCAGCUCGUGUUGUGAAAUGUUGGGUUAAGUCCCGCAACGAGCGCAACCCUUAUCCUUGUUUGCCAGCGAGUAAUGUCGGAACUCCAGGGAGACUGCCGGUGAUAAACCGGAGGAAGGGGGGGACGACGUCAAGUCUCAUGCCCCUUACGAGAAGGGGCUACACACGGUGCUACAAUGGCGCCAUACAAG